This 24-nucleotide non-coding RNA is filed under the name Arabidopsis thaliana (thale cress). The record is from RNAcentral. Lineage: Eukaryota; Viridiplantae; Streptophyta; Magnoliopsida; Brassicales; Brassicaceae.
AGUAGCACCCGUCGGAGCCUGUGC